Raphanus sativus (radish) is the source of this 413-nucleotide long non-coding RNA. RefSeq lists it as uncharacterized. NCBI's taxonomy places the organism in Eukaryota, Viridiplantae, Streptophyta, Magnoliopsida, Brassicales, Brassicaceae. The record is from RefSeq and is a predicted model, not a curated record. The transcript has 3 exons.
UAACCGAAAUUUAACCUACCUAUAUAUAUCUCUUAAACCUAAAACGUAAUCAGUUUCUCUUUGGCUUCCUCAAACUCUAGCCGCUGCUUCUCGGAUUCUCAACCCUAACAACAUCGUCUUCUUCGUUUGAUUCUCACAUCUUUCCGAGCACGAGAGUAAAACAAUGAUGCCUUACUUGGAUAUUGCAUUGAAUUAGGAGCAAACGAUGUUGGAAGAAAAAAAAAUCGACUUUCUUUUUCAUUGUGUUGAGAAAAUGCAAAUUUCAGGAGAAUCUCAUCAUUAGAAUUAGAGGUUGGUGGAGUUCAAGCGUAAUUGUGACAUUUAGUUUUCUAUUGUUUUGUUUGGUCACUUUGUGAUUUGUUGGACAUUAUGAUUUGUUGGACAUUAUAAGAUAUGAGUCAUAGAUUUAUAAA